RNAcentral lists this unclassified non-coding RNA (279 nucleotides) under Hevea brasiliensis (rubber tree). The record is from RNAcentral. Lineage: Eukaryota; Viridiplantae; Streptophyta; Magnoliopsida; Malpighiales; Euphorbiaceae.
GAAUUCUAGUGCUAUUCCUUCCUCUUCUCUCUAGACUUUACGAAACCCUCCUCUUCCUAGUGCUUGCUGAAAGUAUUUAUGCAAUUUGCCAAUCGAUGAAGAAUUGACUUGGUGGUGUGUGAAGUCUAUCAAUUUGAAUAUCUGAGCAUGGAUAAAGUAUCACCAGACUGUCCAUACCCAGGAUGCUUUUUCUGUGUCAUGAAGGAAGGAAAUCCAAGCAAACGCAGAGCAAGUAUAUUAAAAUUUUUUAGGGAACUUCCUUCACAGGAUGACGACGGC